Molecule: non-coding RNA, 1449 nt
Organism: Peromyscus maniculatus bairdii (prairie deer mouse)
Lineage: Eukaryota; Metazoa; Chordata; Mammalia; Rodentia; Cricetidae
Source: RefSeq, a predicted model, not a curated record
UCAGGCGCUCAUGCCGUCGUCUUCCACCUGCAUGAAGGUGUUGGCUGUCCUGACCCAUCACUUCAUACUGUUCAUCUUCACCCUUUGAGUCCAUGCUUCCUCCUUCUCAGCCUGGUCCCCAUCAUUGUAACCCUGUUUCUCAGACGCCCUCAGCCCCAGCCUUCUCUCACAUUCAUGGUCACCCCCAAAAGACCCAGUCUGAAUGCGUGAGCUCAGGACUUCAGGUGCUGUCCCGGCCUGGCCUGGCCUUGCUGCCAUUUUUUCCCCCCCCAGCCACUCCUUUAUCCACAGCCCAAGCAUCCUGUCUUCACAGCCACCCCUCUUCCCUCACAGGCUUUGUGACUACCACGGAGCUUCCCCCUCAGCACGCAAACGUGUUAGGAACCAGCCAUUCCUUGUUACGCUCUGCUUGCCGCCUCCUCACGUCCCACAUUUCCCCGCAUUUCCUUCCGUGCCCUGGCCCGUCCAUGCUGCUGAACCUAGGUGCUGCUGCUGCUGCUGCUGCUGCUGCUGCUGUGUCAGUCCCACGUGACCUCACGUCAUUGUUGGGAGAUGCCCACUCGGGAUCGUCUGGCUGCCUCUGCCCCAGCAGUCAGCUCUGAUGUCUGAGUUCGGCGCUGACCCUGGACACAGUUCUGUGUCUCUACCACCACCUUCUGGCUUGUGCAGCCCCCACGCCUCUGUUCUGGCCCUUGAAGGCCCCCCCGCCGGGGCCCGGGCCUCCGUCUGCUCCAUCCUGGUCCUAGCUGUCUGGAUCCCCGUGGCCGUUUGCUUUUCUGCUCUGGCCUGCAAGGCAGACCUGAAGUCCGUCUCCGUCCUCUGCCUAUUACUCUGCCUCUCUCACUGCCCCUGUGCUGAGAUGGCGUCGCCGCAGUUCCAUGAGUCAGGGAGUGAGUCUGUCCCUUGGCAGGGCCUUUGCGCAGUCUGCUCUCUGCUGAGUGAGCUCCCCUGGCCGCAGCUGACUCAGGUGGUGUGUGUGUCACCUCACUGGUGAGGCCCCCUGCGACCCAGUCCUUUUCCUCUUGGCUCCAUGCAUUGGAUUUCCACCGCAGACCUCGCCAUCCCUCAGUAUUUGGUCAUCCUUUACUCCCAACCAUGAGAACUGGAUCCACAAGCAGCUGCCCUAGCAGGGCGGCCUAGGGCAGUGUCUGCAGCAGUCGGCCGGCCAUGAUUGCCAGGGAUCCAGGACCACUCCUCCUCCAUCUCUGUACCGUCUCAGGCACAGCGCGAGGCUUGGACCACUGUGGAUAGGAAUAGACACAUACUCUAUUUCUGUGCCCCUGGUGGAGAGCCUGGGCACCACACCCGACUCUGUUCCAGAACUCACUGAACUUGCCUUCCAUCUUGCUGCUGAAGAAGCUGCCUCCUGAAGAUGAAUGACUUGCUGGCCAUGUUUGCGCCUGCGCGGCCUCUGUCUCCUACCAGCUUCGGGCCCUCUUUGUCUUCAGA